RNAcentral lists this ribosomal RNA (253 nucleotides) under uncultured bacterium. RNAcentral describes it as "partial 16S ribosomal RNA". It matches the Rfam family "Bacterial small subunit ribosomal RNA", at positions 524 to 776 of the family's 1533-position model. The record is from RNAcentral.
UACGGAGGGGGCUAGCGUUGUUCGGAAUUACUGGGCGUAAAGCGCACGUAGGCGGACAUUUAAGUCAGGGGUGAAAUCCCGGGGCUCAACCCCGGAACUGCCUUUGAUACUGGGUGUCUGGAGGUCGAGAGAGGUGAGUGGAAUUCCGAGUGUAGAGGUGAAAUUCGUAGAUAUCUGGAGGAACACCGGUGGCGAAGGCGACAUCCUGGACCGGUAUUGACGCUGAGGCGCGAAAGCCAGGGGAGCAAACGGG